Molecule: ribosomal RNA, 760 nt
Filed under: Pseudoalteromonadaceae bacterium ACEMC 4-9
Lineage: Bacteria; Pseudomonadati; Pseudomonadota; Gammaproteobacteria; Alteromonadales; Pseudoalteromonadaceae
Description: bacterial SSU rRNA
Rfam family: Bacterial small subunit ribosomal RNA
Source: RNAcentral
AACACAUGCAAGUCGAGCGGUAACAGAAAGUAGCUUGCUACUUUGCUGACGAGCGGCGGACGGGUGAGUAAUGCUUGGGAACAUGCCUUGAGGUGGGGGACAACAGUUGGAAACGACUGCUAAUACCGCAUAAUGUCUACGGACCAAAGGGGGCUUCGGCUCUCGCCUUUAGAUUGGCCCAAGUGGGAUUAGCUAGUUGGUGAGGUAAUGGCUCACCAAGGCAACGAUCCCUAGCUGGUUUGAGAGGAUGAUCAGCCACACUGGAACUGAGACACGGUCCAGACUCCUACGGGAGGCAGCAGUGGGGAAUAUUGCACAAUGGGCGAAAGCCUGAUGCAGCCAUGCCGCGUGUGUGAAGAAGGCCUUCGGGUUGUAAAGCACUUUCAGUCAGGAGGAAAGGGUGUGAGUUAAUACCUCAUAUCUGUGACGUUACUGACAGAAGAAGCACCGGCUAACUCCGUGCCAGCAGCCGCGGUAAUACGGAGGGUGCGAGCGUUAAUCGGAAUUACUGGGCGUAAAGCGUACGCAGGCGGUUUGUUAAGCGAGAUGUGAAAGCCCCGGGCUCAACCUGGGAACUGCAUUUCGAACUGGCAAACUAGAGUGUGAUAGAGGGUGGUAGAAUUUCAGGUGUAGCGGUGAAAUGCGUAGAGAUCUGAAGGAAUACCGAUGGCGAAGGCAGCCACCUGGGUCAACACUGACGCUCAUGUACGAAAGCGUGGGGAGCAAACGGGAUUAGAUACCCCGGUAGUCCACGCCGUAA